RNAcentral lists this transfer RNA (87 nucleotides) under Treponema sp. RNAcentral describes it as "tRNA-Ser". It matches the Rfam family "tRNA". From Rfam's summary of the family: Transfer RNA (tRNA) molecules are approximately 80 nucleotides in length. Their secondary structure includes four short double-helical elements and three loops (D, anti-codon, and T loops). Lineage: Bacteria; Pseudomonadati; Spirochaetota; Spirochaetia; Treponematales; Treponemataceae. The record is from RNAcentral.
GGAGUAAUGGCAGAGUGGUCGAUUGCGGCAGCUUGCUAAGCUGUUAUAGCAGUAAUGCUAUCAAAAGUUCGAAUCUUUUUUACUCCG